AUCUUAUCCAGAGAGGUGGAGGGAAAGGCCCUUUGAAACCUCGGCAACAGGCUCAAUCGUUUUUGAAAACUGUGCCAAUUCCUGCAACGUGAAGUUGUAAAGAUGAGAC
Molecule: non-coding RNA, 109 nt
Filed under: Staphylococcus massiliensis
Lineage: Bacteria; Bacillati; Bacillota; Bacilli; Caryophanales; Staphylococcaceae
Also listed under: 1 other name
Description: SAM-I sequence
Rfam family: SAM riboswitch aptamer (S box leader)
About the family: The SAM riboswitch is found upstream of a number of genes which code for proteins involved in methionine or cysteine biosynthesis in Gram-positive bacteria. The SAM riboswitch acts at the level of transcription termination control.
Source: RNAcentral